Molecule: ribosomal RNA, 416 nt
Filed under: uncultured bacterium
Lineage: Bacteria
Description: bacterial SSU rRNA
Rfam family: Bacterial small subunit ribosomal RNA
Source: RNAcentral
CCGAAAGGCAGGAGUGCCUGCAAGGGAGCGCGGAGACAGGUGGUGCAUGGCUGUCGUCAGCUCGUGUCGUGAGAUGUUGGGUUAAGUCCCGCAACGAGCGCAACCCUCACCUCUUGUUGCCAUCAGGUCAUGCUGGGCACUCUAGAGGAACUGCCCCGGUCAACGGGGAGGAAGGCGGGGAUGACGUCAAGUCAUCAUGCCCCUUACGUCCUGGGCUACACACGUGCUACAAUGGCCGGUACAAAGGGAUGCCUCACCGCGAGGUAGAGCUAAACCCAAAAAGCCGGUCUAAGUUCGGAUUGGAGUCUGCAACUCGACUCCAUGAAGGAGGAAUCGCUAGUAAUCGCGUAUCAGCACGACGCGGUGAAUACGUUCCCGGGCCUUGUACACACCGCCCGUCACACCACGAAAGCCGG